RNAcentral lists this unclassified non-coding RNA (277 nucleotides) under uncultured fungus. RNAcentral describes it as "partial contains small subunit ribosomal RNA, internal transcribed spacer 1, and 5.8S ribosomal RNA". The stretch from base 1 to 73 matches the Rfam family "Eukaryotic small subunit ribosomal RNA", at positions 1759 to 1831 of the family's 1831-position model. The record is from RNAcentral. Lineage: Eukaryota; Fungi.
UCAAACUUGGUCAUUUAGAGGAAGUAAAAGUCGUAACAAGGUCUCCGUUGGUGAACCAGCGGAGGGAUCAUUACUGAGUUGCAAAACUCCCUAAACCAUUGUGAACCUACCUGUACCGUUCCUUCGGCGGGCGGCGUCGCGCCCUAACCUGCCCCCGGGCAGACCCGCCGGAGGCCCCUAAACUCUUAACUUUAGUUGGCAUCUCUGAGUAAAUCAAAAAUAAGUCAAAACUUUCAACAACGGAUCUCUUGGCUCUGGCAUCGAUGAAGAACGCAGC